This 253-nucleotide ribosomal RNA is filed under the name uncultured bacterium. RNAcentral describes it as "partial 16S ribosomal RNA". It matches the Rfam family "Bacterial small subunit ribosomal RNA", at positions 524 to 776 of the family's 1533-position model. The record is from RNAcentral.
GACGAACCGUGCGAACGUUGUUCGGAAUCACUGGGCUUAAAGGGCGCGUAGGCGGGUGUGCAAGUCUGCGGUGAAAGCCUCCAGCUUAACUGGAGAAGUGCCGUGGAUACUGCAUAUCUUGAGGAGGGUAGGGGCAUCUGGAACAUUGGGUGGAGCGGUGAAAUGCGUUGAUAUCCAAUGGAACUCCGGUGGCGAAGGCGAGGUGCUGGACCCUUUCUGACGCUGAGGCGCGAAAGCCAGGGGAGCAAACGGG